RNAcentral lists this ribosomal RNA (266 nucleotides) under uncultured bacterium. RNAcentral describes it as "partial 16S ribosomal RNA". It matches the Rfam family "Bacterial small subunit ribosomal RNA", at positions 85 to 352 of the family's 1533-position model. The record is from RNAcentral.
CCGAUGGCGACCGGCGCACGGGUGAGUAACACGUAUCCAACCUGCCGAUAACUCGGGGAUAGCCUUUCGAAAGAAAGAUUAAUAUCCGAUAGGAUAUCAAGAUCGCAUGAUCUUGAUAUUAAAGAAUUUCGGUUAUCGAUGGGGAUGCGUUCCAUUAGUUAGUUGGCGGGGUAACGGCCCACCAAGACGACGAUGGAUAGGGGUUCUGAGAGGAAGGUCCCCCACAUUGGAACUGAGACACGGUCCAAACUCCUACGGGAGGCAGC